GAUGAACGCUGGCGGCGUGCUUAACACAUGCAAGUCGAACGGGAAUUACUUUAUUGAAACUUCGGUCGAUUUAAUUUAAUUCUAGUGGCGGACGGGUGAGUAACGCGUGGGUAACCUGCCUUGUACAGGGGGAUAACAGUCAGAAAUGACUGCUAAUACCGCAUAAGCGCACAGGACCGCAUGGUCCGGUGUGAAAAACUCCGGUGGUAUAAGAUGGACCCGCGUUGGAUUAGCUAGUUGGCAGGGUAACGGCCUACCAAGGCGACGAUCCAUAGCCGGCCUGAGAGGGUGAACGGCCACAUUGGGACUGAGACACGGCCCAGACUCCUACGGGAGGCAGCAGUGGGGAAUAUUGCACAAUGGGGGAAACCCUGAUGCAGCGACGCCGCGUGAAGGAAGAAGUAUCUCGGUAUGUAAACUUCUACCAGCAGG
Molecule: ribosomal RNA, 432 nt
Filed under: uncultured bacterium
Lineage: Bacteria
Description: bacterial SSU rRNA
Rfam family: Bacterial small subunit ribosomal RNA
Source: RNAcentral